GUUAUUAAAAACAUGUCCUUUUGAUAAUAAUUUAAGGUCUAGUCUGCCCAAUGAUAACAAUAUGUAUUAAAUGGCCGCGGUAUAUUGACCGUGCAAAGGUAGCAUAAUCAUUAGUUUUUUAAUUGAAAACUUGUAUGAAAGGCUGGAUGAGGGGAUAACUGUCUCUAUCUAAAUUAAGUAGAAUUUUAUUUUUAAGUUAAAAAGCUUAAAUGUGUGUAAAAGACGAGAAGACCCUAUAGAGUUUGAUAAAAAUUUAUUUUAAUAAAAGUAGGUAAAAGUAAUUUAUUUAAAAGAGAUAAAUUUUUGUUUAAUUGGGGAGAUUAAAAAAUUAAGAAAACUUUUUUUAUUAUUUUACAUUGAUAAAUGAAAGGUUGAUUCUUGAAUUAAGAUUAAAAGAUAAAAUUACCUUAGGGAUAACAGCGUAAUUUUUUUUUAGAGUACAAAUUUAUAAAAAAGUUUGCGACYUCGA
RNAcentral lists this ribosomal RNA (469 nucleotides) under Heilipodus sp. ARC2566. RNAcentral describes it as "partial 16S ribosomal RNA". It matches the Rfam family "Bacterial large subunit ribosomal RNA", at positions 1802 to 2529 of the family's 2925-position model. The record is from RNAcentral. Lineage: Eukaryota; Metazoa; Arthropoda; Insecta; Coleoptera; Curculionidae.